AUUUCUCAAUUUAGUUUCACUGUGUACAAUCCAACCAUGUUUACUUAAUCCAGUCGUGUUGGGAUUAUGAGAAAAGAUUUGUUGCAUCAAAGUGUUUCUGAAACGGGACAGGGGAGUUACAUUUCCCAGCAUGCUUUGCAUGAGCACGUUUUGAAAUGAAGUGUUAUUUGAUGCAUUUCUACACUGUUAGUGUUUAAUGUUCUGUUAUGUUGGGUUUAGAGAAGUCUCUGGCAUGAUGGAGGUUUUUCGGAGGUUAUCAGUGUGGAGAAGAGUUAAACUAAUGGUUAGAUGGAGGAUGGGUGAUUUACAACAUUGUACUUUGCUGGAAUAUGAGUGAAUGUUCAUUUGUCAUGAAGCAAAGACUGAAGGAUCAUCAGCACUCGUCAGCGUCAUUUUUUCAGUGUAUUUUGUAAAACAAGAACCGUGUUAGUCAGCGAACAUUUGAGCUCAGAAGUUCCCCAGAAACACAAUUUCGACACUUUUCUGAAGUCCGACUCCUCAGCUGGUUUGUGUGGGGUGAAAGGUCAAGUGCUACAGGAAGUGUGGGGUGAAAGGUCAAGUGCUACAGGAAGUGUGGGGUGAAGGGUCAAGUGCUACAGGAAGUGUGGGGUGAAAGGUCAAGUGCUACAGGAAGUGUGGGGUGAAGGGUCAAGUGCUACAGGAAGUGUGGGGUGAAGGGUCAAGUGCUACAGGAAGUGUGGGGUGAAGGGUCAAGUGCUACAGGAAGUGUGGGGUGAAGGGUCAAGUGCUACAGGAAGUGUGGGGUGAAGGGUCAAGUGCUACAGGAAGUGUGGGGUGAAGGGUCAAGUGCUACAGGAAGUGUGGGGUGAAAGGUCAAGUGCUACAGGAAGUGUGGGGUGAAGGGUCAAGUGCUACAGGAAGUGUGGGGUGAAAGGUCAAGUGCUACAGGAAGUGUGGGGUGAAGGGCCAAGUGCUACAGGAAGUGCGGAGUGAAGGGCCAAGUGCUACAGGAAGUGUGGAGUGAAGGGUCAAGUGCUAUAGGAAGUGUGGGGUGAAAGGUCAAGUGCUACAGGAAGCGUGUGGUGAAAGGUCAAGUGCUACAGGAAGUGUGGGGUGAAGGGUCAAGUGUUACAGGAAGCGUGGGGUGAAGGGUCAAGUGCUACAGGAAGCGUGGGGUGAAGGGUCAAGUGUUACAGGAAGCGUGGGGUGAAGGGUCAAGUGUUACAGGAAGCGUGGGGUGAAGGGUCAAGUGUAAAUAUCGUAUACCACUUCCUGAGUCUGAAAAACACAUCAAAUGAGUCAAACUUAAAAUUGGAGUGGAUUUGAUCACAUUUCGGCUCUGUUGCUGUGACGUUUGGAUGCUUUUUGAAACCACAUGUACAAAUAAUUGUUCUGCACCAUGUCUGUGUUUACAAGUGAAAAUAUUCAGCAUUCAUCCCAAAAUAAGCAGCUCUGUCCAUCUGGGGUGGUCAAUAAACCACAAGUAGCAUCCGUUGGGACCAUUGAUCAUAUUUAUUCCCAUUGGGAACUGGAGGACUUUUGGAAGGGAUCUGACCACUAAUAUUGUUGUAUGUGCGCUUCAGCGGCACAAAUGUUUGAAGAAACUUCACAGAUGUACAGCACUGUGCUUUGAUGUUUUGUACUUUUGAGACUUUUGUACAUCCACAGGUGUAAAAUUGCAGUUUAUCUUCUUAGAGAAAAUGUUUUCAUUCCCGGUUUUCAUUUGAUCUAAUCACGGCAGAGGGGAGGAGUGGAGAAGUCUCGUAAUCUGUGAGCCCAAACUUCCCAAUGGAGCGAACUGCCCAAUCCGGACAGAAGCAUGAAUUAUAUUUUAUUACGUCUUUAUGCUACACAGUCUGAAACUAGCGGCACAGUGGGCGUGGAAGUUCUCAUACUGCACAAUAUCAUGCUUUUAUAUAUUUUAAUAUAUUUAAUGGAUCACAGAUGGAACAUGUGCAAAACGUUACCAAUUUGUACUUUUCUCCCCAUUUUGGAACGCUCAAUUCCCAAUGUGCUCAAGUCCUCGUGGUGGUGUAGUGACUCGCCUCAAUCCGGGUGGCGGAGGACGAAUCUCAGUUGCCUCCGCGUCUGAGACCGUCAAUCUGCGCAUCUUAUCACGUGACUUGUUGAAUGUGUUACCAUAGCACGUAUGGAGGCUUCACGCUAUUCUCCGCUGCAUCCACGCACAACUCACCACACGCCCCACCGAGAGCGAACCACAUUAUAGAAACCACGAGGAGGUUACCCCAUGUGACUCUACCCUCCUUAGCAACCGGGCCAAUUUGGUUGCUAAGGAGACCUGACUGGAGUCACUCAGCACACCCUGGGAUCGAACUAGCGAACUCCAGAUGUGGUAGAAAGUGACUGAGACAGUCAAUCUGCG
Molecule: long non-coding RNA, 2344 nt
Organism: Xyrauchen texanus (razorback sucker)
Lineage: Eukaryota; Metazoa; Chordata; Actinopteri; Cypriniformes; Catostomidae
Exons: 4
Source: RefSeq, a predicted model, not a curated record